GAUGAACGCUGGCGGCGUGCCUAAUACAUGCAAGUCGAGCGAACGGACGAGAAGCUUGCUUCUCUGAUGUUAGCGGCGGACGGGUGAGUAACACGUGGAUAACCUACCUAUAAGACUGGGAUAACUUCGGGAAACCGUAGCUAAUACCGGAUAAUAUUUUGAACCGCAUGGUUCAAAAGUGAAAGACGGUCUGGCUGUCACUUAUAGAUGGAUCCGCGCUGCAUUAGCUAGUUGGUAAGGUAACGGCUUACCAAGGCAACGAUGCAUAGCCGACCUGAGAGGGUGAUCGGCCACACUGGAACUGAGACACGGUCCAGACUCCUACGGGAGGCAGCAGUAGGGAAUCUUCCGCAAUGGGCGAAAGCCUGACGGAGCAACGCCGCGUGAGUGAUGAAGGUCUUCGGAUCGUAAAACUCUGUUAUUAGGGAAGAACAUAUGUGUAAGUAACUGUGCACAUCUUGACGGUACCUAAUCAGAAAGCCACGGCUAACUACGUG
Molecule: ribosomal RNA, 497 nt
Filed under: uncultured bacterium
Lineage: Bacteria
Description: partial 16S ribosomal RNA
Rfam family: Bacterial small subunit ribosomal RNA
Source: RNAcentral